This is a long non-coding RNA of Pyrus x bretschneideri (Chinese white pear), 1139 nucleotides long. RefSeq lists it as uncharacterized. The record is from RefSeq and is a predicted model, not a curated record. The transcript has 4 exons. Lineage: Eukaryota; Viridiplantae; Streptophyta; Magnoliopsida; Rosales; Rosaceae.
UUCUUCUUCUUUUCUCCUCUCUCUCUCUCUCUCUCUCUCUCUCUCCGUCUGUGUUUGCCUUUUUUCAUCUCUCUAUCUCUUUUGUUUCGAUUCCGAUCUGAUCAUUUGCGAGUGAUCAGUAUUGGCAGUCGCAAGGACGUAGUGGAUCUGCUGUAAGAGUUAUACUCUGUACAAUAGUUAUGAACUACAGUUUGUGUUUUGAUGGUCGUGAUUCAUGUUAAACGAUCUUGGUGAUUGGAUCUUUUAAAUUGGAUUUUUGUGGUUUUGAAUUUGUGGGUUUUUUAGGGAUUUCUGGAUUUUUUUAACUUUUCAGUGUUGGGGAUUUUUGUCCCUUUCGAACUAGCCCUCCCUCGCUCUUAAUUUCCUCCCCUUCACCAAUCAUCUGAAACCAAUGAUACUCAGAGCUCCCCAUCACCGAACUACAUUCGAAAACCUUCUGGAGCAACUUCUCCUCACCAAGCAGCCACUGUGCUCCAGAUCUUUCCAAUUGAAAUUCCUCUUCUUCACCCUUUCAUGUUGAAUUUCACAUCAACAUUGGAUUCGAGUUUUCCGACGAUUCUGUCAACACCCACCAUGAAGGAUGAAGCCUUGGAUGCUUUAGCAAUUGAGGACAAGAAAAGGCAAUAUGCUGCUGCGGAGAACUAUCUAGAAGAUGUAUUGCAUUCAGCUCUAGCCACUUCAGAGACUUAGCAUCCGUGAAGCACAUGCCUUCUCGACAACCGAUGGCUACUCUUUAGAUGUAUUUGUGGUGGAUGGAUGGAUGGUCUAUUGAGGGUGAGAAAGGGAUCACCGAUUUGAAAUCAGCACUUCAAGUAAACAUAAGAAAGAGAUUUUUUUUUGCACAAAGUUGAAAAGGAUUUAGCAGCUGUGACAGACUAAUUUUUGGAAACGUAGACGAGCAUAUUCACCUAGGGUGAAUGGACUCUCCUGCUUUUGCUUUUUCUUUUGCUUCUCUUUUCAUACCUGUGUGAUUUCAAAUCUCCCUAUGCCUAUAGUUGGGAUAUUAUGUCCAAUGAGCUUAUAAUUCGAAAGUUCCCAAUAUUUGGUCUCUGGAUAAUUGAAUCUGGAAGCAUUAUACAUGUUUGUAUUUGAAUAAAAUUGUAGCAAUUGUAAGUGAUAUAAUUCAUGUCCUUGGAAGA